RNAcentral lists this ribosomal RNA (301 nucleotides) under uncultured bacterium. RNAcentral's name for it is "partial 16S ribosomal RNA". It matches the Rfam family "Bacterial small subunit ribosomal RNA", at positions 509 to 809 of the family's 1533-position model. The record is from RNAcentral.
CAGCAGCCGCGGUAAUACGAAGGGGGCUAGCGUUGCUCGGAAUUACUGGGCGUAAAGGGAGCGUAGGCGGAUGUUUAAGUUGGGGGUGAAAGCCCAGGACUCAACCCUGGAACUGCCUUCAAUACUGGACAUCUAGAGUAUGGGAGAGGUGUGUGGAACUCCGAGUGUAGAGGCGAAAUUCGUAGAUAUUCGGAAGAACACCAGUGGCGAAGGCGACACACUGGCCCAUUACUGACGCUGAGGCUCGAAAGCGUGGGGAGCAAACAAGAUUAGAUACCCGCGUAGUCCCUGUCUCUUAUAU